CCUGGCGGCACUAGCGCGGUGGUCCCACCUGACCCCAUGCCGAACUCAGAAGUGAAACGCCGUAGCGCCGAUGGUAGUGUGGGGUCUCCCCAUGUGAGUAGGGAACUGCCGGCA
Molecule: ribosomal RNA, 114 nt
Filed under: Klebsiella pneumoniae
Lineage: Bacteria; Pseudomonadati; Pseudomonadota; Gammaproteobacteria; Enterobacterales; Enterobacteriaceae
Source: RNAcentral